GGUGAAUGGAAUUGGGAACGCGGCGAGGAGGGAGGAGAAAGCUCUGGAAUUUGCCGUCUCCCGAGCGUUCAGGUUGGUGGGCGCUUUCACCAUUCAAGCCAAUAGACGAAGUGCUUCGUUUAAGGUGAGGUUGAAGGGCCCCGUGCGGAUCCCUACCAAGGUGCUCAACGUAACCACCAGGAAGUCUCCCUGUGGCGAAGGUACCAACACCUGGGAUCGUUUUGAGAUGCGGGUGCACAAGAGGGUGAUUGAUCUUGUUAGUUCACCACAUGUUGUCAAGCAGAUCACC
Molecule: long non-coding RNA, 289 nt
Organism: Phragmites australis (common reed)
Lineage: Eukaryota; Viridiplantae; Streptophyta; Magnoliopsida; Poales; Poaceae
Exons: 4
Source: RefSeq, a predicted model, not a curated record